Molecule: ribosomal RNA, 2921 nt
Filed under: Lactiplantibacillus plantarum
Lineage: Bacteria; Bacillati; Bacillota; Bacilli; Lactobacillales; Lactobacillaceae
Description: bacterial LSU rRNA
Rfam family: Bacterial large subunit ribosomal RNA
Source: RNAcentral
AGGUUAAGUUAACAAGGGCGCAUGGUGAAUGCCUUGGCACUAGGAGCCGAUGAAGGACGGGACUAACACCGAUAUGCUUCGGGGAGCUGUACGUAAGCUAUGAUCCGGAGAUUUCCGAAUGGGGCAACCCAGCAGUUUUAAUCAACUGUUACCACUAGAUGAAUUCAUAGUCUAGUUGGAGGUAAACGCUGUGAACUGAAACAUCUCAUUAGCAGCAGGAAUAUAAAGAAAUUUCGAUUCCCUAAGUAGCGGCGAGCGAACGGGGAACAGCCCAAACCAAAGUGCUUGCACUUUGGGGUUGUAGGACUGAACAUUUGAGUUACCAAAGAACUUGAUAGUCGAAGGAUUUGGGAAAAUCCGCCAUAGAUGGUGAUAGCCCAGUAGAUUAAAUCAAAUUCUCUCAGUUCAGGAUCCUGAGUACGGCGGAACACGUGAAAUUCCGUCGGAAUCCGGGAGGACCAUCUCCCAAGGCUAAAUACUACCUAGUGACCGAUAGUGAACCAGUACCGUGAGGGAAAGGUGAAAAGCACCCGGGAGGGGAGUGAAAUAGUUCCUGAAACCAUGUGCCUACAAUAAGUCAGAGCGCGUUAAUGCGUGAUGGCGUGCCUUUUGUAGAAUGAACCGGCGAGUUAUGAUCCCGUGCAAGGUUAAGACUAAAAAGUCGGAGCCGUAGCGAAAGCGAGUCUGAAAUGGGCGUUUUGAGUACGAGGUUAUAGACCCGAAACCAGGUGACCUAUCCAUGUCCAGGUUGAAGGUGCGGUAAAACGCACUGGAGGACCGAACCCGUGUAAGUUGAAAAUUGCUGGGAUGAGGUGUGGAUAGCGGUGAAAUUCCAAACGAACUUGGAGAUAGCUGGUUCUCUCCGAAAUAGCUUUAGGGCUAGCCUCGGAAUUAGGAUCAUGGAGGUAGAGCACUAUUUGGACUAGGGGCCCGUCUUGGGUUACUGAAUUCAGAUAAACUCCGAAUGCCAUUGAUUCAUAUCCGGGAGUCAGACGAUGAGUGAUAAGAUCCACCGUCGAAAGGGGAACAGCCCAGACCAUCAGUUAAGGUCCCUAAAUGUAUGCUAAGUGGAAAAGGAUGUGGAGUUGCAUAGACAACUAGGAUGUUGGCUCAGAAGCAGCCACCAUUUAAAGAGUGCGUAAUAGCUCACUAGUCGAGUGAUCCUGCGCCGAAAAUGUACCGGGGCUAAGCAUACUACCGAAACCAUGGAUGCGACCAUUAGGUCGCGUGAUAGGAGAGCGUUCUAAGGGCGGUGAAGCAAGAUCGUGAGGACUUGUGGAGCGCUUAGAAGUGAGAAUGCCGGUAUGAGUAGCGAAAGAUAGGUGAGAAUCCUAUCCACCGAAUGACUAAGGUUUCCUGGGAAGGCUCGUCCUCCCAGGGUUAGUCGGGACCUAAGUCGAGGCCGAGAGGCGUAGACGAUGGAUAACAGGUUGAGAUUCCUGUACUAGUUAAGUGCGUUUGAGCAAUGGAGGGACGCAGGAGGCUAAGAUGUGCAUUCUGUUGGAUUAGAAUGUCCAAGCAGUAAGUCUUGUGAAGAGUCAAAUGCUUUUCACUUUAAGGACAAGCUGUGAUGGGGAGCGAAAUUUAGUAGCGAAGCGUCUGAUGUCACACUGCCGAGAAAAGCUUCUAGUGAGUACUUAACUACCCGUACCGCAAACCGACACAGGUAGUCGAGGAGAGAAUCCUAAGGUGAGCGAGUGAACUCUCGUUAAGGAACUCGGCAAAAUGACCCCGUAACUUCGGGAGAAGGGGUGCUGAUCGCAAGAUCAGCCGCAGUGAAUAGGCCCAGGCGACUGUUUAUCAAAAACACAGGUCUCUGCAAAAUCGUAAGAUGACGUAUAGGGGCUGACGCCUGCCCGGUGCUGGAAGGUUAAAAGGAUGGGUUAGCUUCGGCGAAGCUCAGAAUUGAAGCCCCAGUAAACGGCGGCCGUAACUAUAACGGUCCUAAGGUAGCGAAAUUCCUUGUCGGGUAAGUUCCGACCCGCACGAAAGGCGUAACGAUCUGGGCACUGUCUCAACGAGAGACUCGGUGAAAUUAUAUUGUCCGUGAAGAUGCGGACUACCCGCGACAGGACGGAAAGACCCCAUGGAGCUUUACUGUAGCUUGAUAUUGAGUGUUUGUACAGCUUGUACAGGAUAGGUAGGAGCCAUAGAAACCGGAACGCUAGUUUCGGUGGAGGCGUUGGUGGGAUACUACCCUCGCUGUAUGACCACUCUAACCCGCACCACUAAUCGUGGUGGGAGACAGUGUCAGGUGGGCAGUUUGACUGGGGCGGUCGCCUCCUAAAAAGUAACGGAGGCGCCCAAAGGUUCCCUCAGAAUGGUUGGAAAUCAUUCGCAGAGUGUAAAGGCACAAGGGAGCUUGACUGCGAGACAGACAGGUCGAGCAGGGACGAAAGUCGGGCUUAGUGAUCCGGUGGUACCGUAUGGAAGGGCCAUCGCUCAACGGAUAAAAGCUACCCUGGGGAUAACAGGCUUAUCUCCCCCAAGAGUCCACAUCGACGGGGAGGUUUGGCACCUCGAUGUCGGCUCAUCGCAUCCUGGGGCUGUAGUCGGUCCCAAGGGUUGGGCUGUUCGCCCAUUAAAGCGGUACGCGAGCUGGGUUCAGAACGUCGUGAGACAGUUCGGUCCCUAUCCGUCGCGGGCGUAGGAAAUUUGAGAGGACCUGUCCUUAGUACGAGAGGACCGGGAUGGACAUACCUCUGGUGUACCAGUUGUGCCGCCAGGCGCAUCGCUGGGUAGCUACGUAUGGAUGUGAUAAACGCUGAAAGCAUCUAAGUGUGAAACACACCUCGAGAUGAGAUUUCCCAUUCCUUUAUGGAAGUAAGACCCCUGAAAGAUGAUCAGGUAGAUAGGUUAGAAGUGGCAGUGCGGUGACGCAUGAAGCGGACUAAUACUAAUCGGUCGAGGACUUAACCAAG